AAGUAUGGACUUGAAUAUGACAGUCUUUUCACUGAUGUCCAGGGAAUUUCUACCUUACAGUGCCCGGGGAAUGGGAUCUGGGGCUAGCUUUCUUCCUGAGAAAACCAGUCCUGGCUUUUGGGAUAUGGCUUCUCAUAUCUUGAAAGUACUCUGAUAUUCUGAAAGGAUGGUUGGUUGACACUACUGAGAGUCUACAGGGAGUGUGGGAAGUUACUCUUAGCAAACCUCAUAUUUUGGAAAGACAGAACCCAGGAAAGUUUAAUAAUUCCUGUAGGGACAGGAGUGCAGGCUGAGGUUGUUCACGGGAUGCAGGUGCUGUUCAACUUCUAAGUGCGGGCUGAGUUUAAUUCAACCCCCUUGGCCAGCACAGGCCCAGACAGGGCCUGGCUCUUUCUAGUCACCAAGUUGCCCUGACUCCCUGCCUUCUAGCAGAAUAACAAUUCGGGGGCAAUGUAGCGCUUGCCUUAUCUUCUUUGGGCUAGUUGGAGUUUCAGAGCAAAUACAUUCUUCUCUAGCCGGCUUAGCUUAAAGUCUGUUUACUUGUCCCCAGGAUAGGUGAAUAUUCAGAGGGCUCUGGGAAUGAGACCCAACAAACUGGACUUUGGUCCUCUCUUGCCACCAAUCACUCUGAUUCCUCCAGCUCCUACCUAGGGGAAUGUGUCAGCUAUAGAAGCAAUCUUGGCAUGCAGACUGGGGCAUAUCUCUUUAGGAAACUAGGUGCUGGGCUCAAAGUGAGCUGGGUUUAAGGUUUUAGUCCCCACAGUUUGGGGACACAAGCCAUUCACACAGCCUGCAACUGGGUCAGCACCUAGGAGGCUUUCAAAAACUGGGGCUCAGAUUUGUUCUGACCUCCAAGUAAAAGAAAUAAACAUUCUAGAGAUGCCCUGACACUGAGAUGGUGGAAGAGGGGAAGUUUCCUCAGUGAGCUGUAGAACAAAUGCCCUAGAAACUGCCCCCUGACAAGUAUCCCACUCAACUCCAGGCCGCGAUGGUUCAGGCAGUGGGGGGAUUUUGCAGACAGCAUCCUCCUCUUUGCUCCUCUCCCCCACCCCACCCCAACCCCGCCGUGUAAACACGAGGACUUUCUCGAGAGCCCUGGAGAGCCGCUCUAGUGGCUUCGGGGCCUGAAACCCCAGGCUUGGCUUGUUUGAUGUUUAGCAUCCCAAAGCGGCUCCCCACCCCCGCCCCAGCCUGGGAACCCCGAGCUCCGGGGCCGAAGAGAAGGGGAAGCAGUUCUCUCAGCUGGAGGGCGGUGGAUUGGCUGGGCUUAGAGAAGUGGCGAAAACUACAGGACUCCCCGCCCUGAGCAGGGGAGAAAGGGAUCCCGGAAUGAUGCGGUCAUCCAUGAGGAUAUAGCUGGAGUCCUAAAGGCCAAGAGGCAGACGGGGAAAGAAAUGUCACAAUUUGGGGGAAUACACUGGAGAUAGGGGCCAGGUCGGUGGAAAUAGCUUGGGGCCACCGCGAAAACAAGGUAAGCGGUGUCUGGGUCCAGUUAGUGAGCAUCGAGAACGGCGUCCACGACUGCAGGGCUAUCAGGGCCUCGAGGAGACAGCGCUCCGUGCCACUGCUUAGUGCUUGGCCUUUCAUAGGGACGAACCUGCUUAGGAGUCUUCCAAGAGAUUUUUAAAUCCUCCGAGUCUGGACCUGGAAGCUCCAUUGGCGACGUUUGGAUCUGGCUUCGUAGUCUUUGAUUUCGAAAGCCCAGGAAGAUUCGCAGACUUUCAAGGCCGCACACACCGCAUUGCCGGGAGUCUGGGCGGCGGUGAGGACUGAGAAGCUGUCUCAAGACCUGAGUCUCUUCUCAGGCGAUCCCAGAUAAGAGGAGAGAGAGAGAGCUUUUCUGACUUCCAACUCAUUAGGGACCAGAUUUGCUCUCCAGCACAGCAAAAGGGUCUGCCUGUGACCCUCACCGAACUCACUCUUCACUGCUUUAUAGAGACCAUCAGACUCAGGACAAAUAUUCUAGUUUGGAUGCGCAAUUAAUAAUAAGAAGAUACAGGACAGAGGCGGACUGAAUGGCUCCAAUUCUCAGAAUGUGAAAGCGUAAAUCAGAACCUACUAUUUUGUAAAACCAACUUGGAAAACAAAAUUGUCAGAAGCAAAACAACAACAACAACAACAAUAAAAACCAAACCAACAACAAAACCAAGCAAGUCAGGCUGUUUUACCAAUAAAGGGGGCACUGAAUGGAAUCAGAGAUCUGAUAAGUGCCGGGAAGUUGGACUAAGAGGGACAGGAGACUUCGAAACUUCUCUGAAUACUGCUUUGCUGCUGACUUCCAAGGAGAUCUCACCAGAGCUGAGCUGAAGCCAGGACCAUAGUGUUAUUGACAUUACCCCCAGAGACAUGAAGAAACAUCUGCUGCCCCUAGAUAUGAAACCAACACAGACCAAACCAACUGUCAGUACUGCAAGUGGUCCACCCACCAAAGAGAUGGAACUCAACGUGGUAGAAUAGAAGCUGAGACAUGUGGACUUGACAGACUUGAGACUCGGCUAUUCAUCCCAGCUCUGAGAGCCCAUGCAGCUCAUUGAGCCUUCGCGACUCCUGGUUUUACUUUCAGCAAAAUGGAGAUAUUAAGGUUCGUGUUACCCUGAACCUGUGAGCUCAGAAGGAAUUUUCUGGUUUUCGGGAGACGGCAGCCAUUCAUCAUAGCUCUCCACCACUGACUGACUGAGAGUCAAUUAUCAUCAAACAUCCAUCUGCCCAUGAUGCUAAUUAUUCCUACUCCAUGAUUGAGGAUUUGGAGUCGGAGACUCACCUGCAAUAUUUGGAAUACCAGUGGAGAUCCAUAUCAACAUGGAAUUUAUACAGCAGCUGGUGCCAGUCACAGCUAAUGAUGAAACUUCAGCUUAAUAAAAAGACCCCCAACUGAGUACAACCAUCUCGAAGAAAGUGUACUUAUCAAACAGCUUUCAAUCAGUUCAAGAGAGACACCUUAAUUGUGAAGAGCAAGAACCGCACAGCAGUUGUCACCAUGCCAACUUCAGAUCAAUGGCACUUCCACUGCUCUUGGUACAUAUAGCCUUGCCUAUGUCCUUAACUGCACCAACAUCCUUCCUGUUGGGAUGAGAUCUUGUCAGCUGCUAGCGUGUGAUGAUGCCUUCGUUCAUUACAUUACUAUACCCCUUAGCAAAAUUUAAACGUGUAAUGAUAAAGGUCACUACCUUUUCCUUUAAUUAAGACCUCUAUUUCUUGUUACCAGAAACAAGUGCCUAUGACAUUUUGUAUUUUCAGAAAUUAUCCUGUUGAAAUAAAGCUACACAAACAAAAUAAAA
RNAcentral lists this small RNA (3278 nucleotides) under Rattus norvegicus (Norway rat). RNAcentral describes it as "uncharacterized LOC100911923". Lineage: Eukaryota; Metazoa; Chordata; Mammalia; Rodentia; Muridae. The record is from RNAcentral.